GCAAGAAGCCUCAGAAUUCAAGAUAAAUUC
RNAcentral lists this non-coding RNA (30 nucleotides) under Rattus norvegicus (Norway rat). Lineage: Eukaryota; Metazoa; Chordata; Mammalia; Rodentia; Muridae. The record is from RNAcentral.